GUACUUACCUGGCAAGGGAGAUACCGUGAUCAAGAACGCAGUUCACCCAGGGCGAGGCUCAGCAAUUGCACUCCGGCUGUGCUGACCCCUGCAAAUUUCCUAAAUGUGGAAAUCUCGAUUGCAUAAUUUCUGGACUGUGUUCGGGCUCUCCCCUGU
RNAcentral lists this small nuclear RNA (156 nucleotides) under Hucho hucho (huchen). Its description in RNAcentral is "U1 spliceosomal RNA (ENSHHUG00000049469.1)". It matches the Rfam family "U1 spliceosomal RNA". From Rfam's summary of the family: U1 is a small nuclear RNA (snRNA) component of the spliceosome (involved in pre-mRNA splicing). Its 5' end forms complementary base pairs with the 5' splice junction, thus defining the 5' donor site of an intron. There are significant differences in sequence and secondary structure between metazoan and yeast U1 snRNAs, the latter being much longer (568 nucleotides as compared to 164 nucleotides in human). Lineage: Eukaryota; Metazoa; Chordata; Actinopteri; Salmoniformes; Salmonidae. The record is from RNAcentral.